CAGACCCAGAGGCUCCAGGCUCAUUUUGUGAGACCCUAGGAGUAACCCCCAACAACAGGGCAGAGGGCCUCAUUGUGUCCUCAGCCUGCAUCCAGGCAGACACAAUAGAUGAGAGGGGGUGUCCUGGAAGAUUGUCCACACAGUAUGUUGGACAUGCCACAUUUUGUUUUGAUGCCCCAGGGAAAGAUGGGGCUUAGAGGAGCCAUCCUGGGGGCAGUCUCCUAGCUUGGUCAGCUCUGAGACUCAUGUUUGGAAGUAGGCUUUCCUUCAGCCAGUCCCACCUGCCCUUGGCUUCCCCGGAAAAGCAGGAAGCUUGGAGGAGGUGGGGGAGCCAGAGACCGGAUUCAGAGGGGCAGAGGUCAGUGGGCUGGAGCUGCUGGACCCUUGGGGCCUUCCCCUGUGUCUAGCCUGACCCCUGACCCUACCAGCCCUGCCCCCAGCCCAUGGAAGCCCCAGUGCCCCAGAACCACCAGCUCUGUUGAGACAGGAAAGCAUAUGACAGGAAGGGAACCCUCCUCCCGCUGUCCCCUCUCUAGAAUAGCCCACCAAACUGGACCAGCUGCAGCAGCAGUGACCUCUUGUGCCCCACCCCCACCUGCUCAGGGAAGGGUGCUUGCCGGCUUUCAGGGAACAAACACCAGUGGCCACCAACCUGGAGGAGAGAGGGCAGGAGAGGGGUCAGGAGCUGAGACCAGAAAGAUGGGUAAGAAUUAGCCCAUGAAUUGGAUUGUGGAGUGGGGGCCUGACCCUGGGAGAGGCCCUGGGGCUGAAGGGAGCUUGGCAUCUUGGAAGAAUAACAAGGCCAGUGUGGCUGGAACCUGUAGGGGUGCAGGAAUGAGGCCAGGGCGGGGGCAGAUCAGGUAGGGCUUUGUAGACUGGGGCCAGGAGUUUGAAAGGAAGCCACUGAAAGAUUCUCAACAAGAAAGUUCCAGACUCAUGUUUGCAUUUCAGAAAGGUCACUGCUCUGUGGAGGAUGGAUGGGGGAGGGUGAGCCGUGCUGGAGAGAAGGCAGGGAAGGCAGCGGAGCCCGAGGGCCAGCACAAAUCUCGGUGGAUUCUGAGAUAUGGGGCAGGCAGUGCAGAAGGGGCCCCUGGGGGGCAUCAUGGGACCAGGAGUGUUGAGGGUCCACUCCAGGUCCCACUUUCUGGUGGCACCAGCCCUCCCAGGCUGAUUUCCCAGCAGUGAGCAGUGGCUUAGGUGUUGGCAAGGAGAAAGUGGGUGGUCCAAGUUCUUCCAGAUGAUGCCCCAAGAGGACAGAAAUGCUAAUACUUCUGGUAUUUGCAAGAGAAAAUACAGAAUCUGAACUGGAUAAGAAGGAAGCCAGAGAGAGGGGCAGUCCACGUGUUUGGGAGAAAGGAGAGUUGUUCCUGGAGUUAAGGGCUUGGUGAGAUGUCAUGGCUGUGUGGAAAACUGGGGGUGUGCCCACAGAGGGAGAAGGUGGGAACAGUUAUUUCAGAGUGGGUGACAGCUUGCUCCAAGGUCUGACUCAGAGUGGGCGACUGGAGGUCUUUGAGGUGAGGAGGUGGAGGAAGCAUUCAAAGAGGGGCCCACAGGCCAUCUUCCAGGGGAGUUUGGAAUCUUGGUAACUGACAUCUCCAGGAGGGACAAGGGAGGUGACUCUAGCUUUCACCUCCAUCACUGCCAACAGCCACUGUCACUGUCACCUAACCACAGUCCCCUCCGUCACCAUCAACACCUCUGUUGCCUCCAGCUCUGUCAUCACUUCCCCAUCAGCAUCACCAAAAUCCACCAUCAUUCAUUCAUUCACUCAGUGGACAAAUAGCUUGAGAAUAUACUCUUGGCAAGGAAUCUUAGUUGAGCUCUGGUCAUGGCGACAAGCAACACAAGUGAGGCCGCUGCCCUUGGGGAGCACACAGUCCGAUGGGGCAGACUGAACACAAACGCAUGAAAAGAUUUAGAAAACGAGAAGUAUAACAACGCGACAAUCCCACCCGCCGGUAUUUUCCCAAAGAAACAAAACACGCUCACACAAAGUUGUCCUCCAAAGUCCACAGCAGCAUUAUUCAUGAUGUCCCCAAACUGGAAACAUUUGAAUGUCCAUGAGCUGGUGAACGGUGACCAAAGUGAGGUCCAUCCACAUAGUAGAAAGAGCAAUGGACUGCUGAUACGUACAGAAUGAAUCUCAAAAGCGUUAUGCUAAGUUCAUGAUGCCGUUCACAAGAGACCACAUACUGCUUGAUGUUUAUGUGAAAUCCAAGAAAAGACAAAACUAUAGUAACGUAAAGCAGAUCAAUGGUGGGCAGGGGCCGGGGGAGAGAAUGAGUGCCCAGGGGCUGAGAGGGCUUUCUGGGUGAUGG
RNAcentral lists this long non-coding RNA (2318 nucleotides) under Equus asinus (donkey). Its description in RNAcentral is "lncRNA (ENSEASG00005028564.1)". Lineage: Eukaryota; Metazoa; Chordata; Mammalia; Perissodactyla; Equidae. The record is from RNAcentral.